AACGAACGCUGGCGGCAUGCUAACACAUGCCAGUCGAACGAGACCUUCGGGUCUAGUGGCGCACGGGUGCGUAACGCGUGGGAACCUGCCCUUAGGUUCGGAAUAACUCCCCGAAAGGGGUGCUAAUACCGGAUAAUGUCUUCGGACCAAAGAUUUAUCGCCUUUGGAUGGGCCCGCGUUGGAUUAGCUAGUUGGUAGGGUAAAAGCCUACCAAGGCGACGAUCCAUAGCUGGUCUGAGAGGAUGAUCAGCCACACUGGGACUGAGACACGGCCCAGACUCCUACGGGAGGCAGCAGUGGGGAAUAUUGGACAAUGGGCGAAAGCCUGAUCCAGCAAUGCCGCGUGAGUGAUGAAGGCCUUAGGGUUGUAAAGCUCUUUUACCCGGGAUGAUAAUGACAGUACCGGGAGAAUAAGCGCCGGCUAACUCCGUG
This 432-nucleotide ribosomal RNA is filed under the name uncultured bacterium. RNAcentral's name for it is "partial 16S ribosomal RNA". It matches the Rfam family "Bacterial small subunit ribosomal RNA", at positions 29 to 507 of the family's 1533-position model. The record is from RNAcentral.